This 355-nucleotide unclassified non-coding RNA is filed under the name soil metagenome. RNAcentral describes it as "partial contains 5.8S ribosomal RNA, internal transcribed spacer 2, and large subunit ribosomal RNA". The stretch from base 1 to 120 matches the Rfam family "5.8S ribosomal RNA", at positions 35 to 154 of the family's 154-position model. The record is from RNAcentral.
GAUGAAGAACGCAGCGAAAUGCGAUAAGUAAUGCGAAUUGCAGAAUUCAGUGAAUCAUCGAAUCUUUGAACGCACAUUGCGCACGCUAGUAUUCUGGCGGGCAUGCCUGUCUGAGCGUCAUUUCAACCCUCGCCCCCGGCUUUUGCUGGGAGCGGUGUUGGGGAUCGGCCGCCCGUCACUGGGAGGCCGGCCCCGAAAUAGAGUGGCGACCACGCCGUGUGCUCCUCUGCGUAGUAGUAAAUCACCUCGCAGGCGGACAGCGGUGCGGCCUGCCGUAAAACCCCCAACUCUUUCUGGUUGACCUCAGAUCAGGUAGGAAUACCCGCUGAACUUAAGCAUAUCAAUAAGCGGAGGA